GAUGAACGCUGGCGGCGUGCCUAAUACAUGCAAGUCGAGCGAACGGACGAGAAGCUUGCUUCUCUGAUGUUAGCGGCGGACGGGUGAGUAACACGUGGAUAACCUACCUAUAAGACUGGGAUAACUUCGGGAAACCGGAGCUAAUACCGGAUGAUAUUUUGAACCGCAUGGUUCAAAAGUGAAAGACGGUCUUGCUGUCACUUAUAGAUGGAUCCGCGCUGCAUUAGCUAGUUGGUAAGGUAACGGCUUACCAAGGCAACGAUGCAUAGCCGACCUGAGAGGAUGAUCGGCCACACUGGAACUGAGACACGGUCCAGACUCCUACGGGAGGCAGCAGUAGGGAAUCUUCCGCAAUGGGCGAAAGCCUGACGGAGCAACGCCGUGUGAGUGAUGAAGGUCUUCGGAUCGUAAAACUCUGUUAUUAGGGAAGAACAUAUGUGUAAGUAACUGUGCACAUCUUGACGGUACCUAAUCAGAAAGCCACGGCUAACUACGUG
RNAcentral lists this ribosomal RNA (497 nucleotides) under uncultured bacterium. RNAcentral describes it as "partial 16S ribosomal RNA". It matches the Rfam family "Bacterial small subunit ribosomal RNA", at positions 28 to 507 of the family's 1533-position model. The record is from RNAcentral.